CGCAUCUGUGCAUGCAGCAUAUCAAUAAGCGGAGGAAAAGAAACUAACAAGGAUUCCCCUAGUAACGGCGAGUGAAGCGGGAAGAGCUCAAAUUUGAAAUCUUAAAGGGUUUCCCUUUACGAAUUGUAGUUUAAAGAAGUGUUUUCCGUUGAGGUUUUGGUAAAAGUUCUUUGGAAUAGGACAUCAUAGAGGGUGAGAAUCCCGUAUUUGACCCUUACUUUCAACUUUGUGAUACACUUUCAAAGAGUCGGAUUGUUUGGGAAUGCAGUCCAAAAUGGGUGGUAAAUUUCAUCUAAAGCUAAAUAUUGGCGAGAGACCGAUAGCGAACAAGUACCGUGAGGGAAAGAUGAAAAGAACUUUGAAAAGAGAGUUAAACAGUACGUGAAAUUGUCAAAAGGGAAGCGUUUGACACCAGUGUUGUUUUUCUGAAAAUCAAUUAAAGAACUGUUUAUGCUAAGUUGUUUAGACUUUAUCAGCUAACUGUUUAGUUUUGAGCUUUUCUUUAAUGCACUUUUCAGUUAACAAGUCAACAUCAAUCUCUUUUGCUGUAAAAAAGCUUGAGGAAGGUGGCUUGAGAUUCGUCUUAAGUGUUUAUAGCCUCUUGCCUAUGCAGUCGGAGAGAUUGAGGUCUGCAGCGUAGAUCCUUCGGGGCUAAAUGCAUUUGUGCUAAGUUAUAGCAUUUUAUAGACAACUUGUUGACUAUGAUUUGUCUUGUAGCUUACUCGCUUAUGUUAUUUUACCUACGCUUAGGAUGUUGAGCGCAUGUCUCUCUCU
RNAcentral lists this ribosomal RNA (774 nucleotides) under uncultured Neocallimastigales. RNAcentral describes it as "partial large subunit ribosomal RNA". It matches the Rfam family "Eukaryotic large subunit ribosomal RNA", at positions 26 to 616 of the family's 3401-position model. Lineage: Eukaryota; Fungi; Neocallimastigomycota; Neocallimastigomycetes; Neocallimastigales. The record is from RNAcentral.